GGACUCCAUCCCGGGACUCCAGGAUCAUGACCUGAGCCGAAGGCAGUCGCUUAACCAACUGAGCCAGCCAGGCGCCCCAACAUUCAUCUGUAUUAAUUCAUCUGCGCUCAUUCACAAAAGGUGAAUUCUUUUUUUUUUAAGAUUUUAUUUAUUCAUUUGUCAGCAGAAGCAGGGGGAGCAGCAGGUUCCCUUCUGAGCAAGAAUUCUGAUGCGGGAGACAAUUCCAGGACCCUGGGAACAUGACCUGAACUGAAGACAGGUGCUUAAUGACUGAGCCACCCAGGUGCCCCAAAAGAAUGAAAAGCUAAAUCUUAAGAGUGGUGUUGAUUGAGAGCUUCAUUCAAUCUGGUAUAUACUCACCAAGAAAUGCUAAAUGGAGCCUCUGCAUGUGCUUAAUGGGGCACCCCAGUAUAGGAUAAGGAUUGAGAUUGAAGACUGAAGACUGAAGCCAGAUGCCUGGAUUAGAAAGUUUAUGUUGCAUUUCCUGGUGAGACUUGGGCAAUUUACUUAACUUUCUUGGCCGAGCUUUUUCAUUUAUAGAAUAGAGAUAAUACUAGUAUGUACCUUAUAAGGUUGCUGAGAAUAUUAAAUGAGUUAUUACAUAUAAAGUGCUUAGAACACCCCCACGAUGGUAAAUUCUUAAUAAAUAUUAGCAGUUAUUACUAUUAGCAGCAGAUUUUGCUUGUGUCAUUUCACCCAAGGCUAAUAUUUCCCACCAACUCUAUCCCACCUCCUUCCAUCUGGUGAUCUUUUAAUAAGAUGAUCUCAUUUUUCCCACCAGCAUAUUGAACAGCAUUCUCUCUACUGGCCCUUCUUUUAGAAUUAUAAACAUGAUCAAGAACCUCCCACUUAAAAUCUACCCUUAUUGUGAGCAUCUCUUUUUCUUUCUUAUUUUAUAAUCAAAUUUAUUAAAAGUCCACACUGGAACCUCCAUGUUCUUCUAUUUUCCCUUCAUUCCUCAAACUAUCGCAAUCUUCUACUUGACCACAUCAUGUCACAAAAUUGUUUUUACCAAGUUCAACUGUUUUCAAAAUGCCUCUCCUAUGUUUUUCCAUUGUAUCCCAAAGCCUCUUGACUACCUUAAAAUCAUAACUUUUUCAACACUUCAUAUCCCCUCUAACAUAGUAUAAUUUUUACUUAUUUAUUUUGUUUAUAUCUGUUUUCCCUGGUUAGAAUGUAAAAUCAGGGAGAACAGGAAUUUGUCUCCUUUGUUUAUUGCUAUAUCCUGAUCACCUAAAAAAAAUGCUGGAACAUCAUAGGCACUCACUAAAUAUGCAUUGAAUGAAUGAACACUGAAUUGUGAUUAUUUAUUUUUCUGUCUUCUAUUUUAGACCAGGAGCUACUUUGAAGACUGGAACUGUUCCUCCUAUCUCUUUACUAGCCCUGUUAGCUCAGAGCCUGGCCCAAACGGGAGUGUGAAUAUCAUGGGUUCAUGGGGAGUCACUAUGGUUCCUGUAUUUUCGGCAAAUGCUUCUGGAGAUACUCCAAGGCCUGAGAAAGCAGAUUUUAAAUUCUAUUCUGCAGUCCUAGAGCUCCAAUGAGCUAGUAUGAUUUUGCAAACAAUGGAGAUUUAAGUUGCCUAAAGAAACUGUAUUAGUGGGCGCCUGGGUGGCUCAGUUGUUAAGCAUCUGCCUUCGGCUCGGGUCAUGAUCCCAGGAUCCUGGGAUCAAGUCCCACA
Long non-coding RNA from Zalophus californianus (California sea lion), 1678 nucleotides. RefSeq lists it as uncharacterized. The record is from RefSeq and is a predicted model, not a curated record. The transcript is spliced from 4 exons. NCBI's taxonomy places the organism in Eukaryota, Metazoa, Chordata, Mammalia, Carnivora, Otariidae.